AGCCUGGGAAACAGAGAAAGACUCUGUCAAAAAAAAAAAAAAAAAAAAAAUACUUAACCCAAUCAGACUUUGAUUAGGGUCACAGACCAAAUAAGUUACAGUUAUUUUUAUUUCUGCUCAUUUUUGUCCAGUAGGCCUCACAUAUUUUUGAUGAAUUUCUGGGUGGUAGAAUAUUCCUUAGAACACUGACCAUAUCCACUUCUACUUUCCAGCUGUUACCUAAACAACAAACUAGACACACUUCACUGCAAACAGUGGGAAGAAUGGUGUUACCUUUGAUGAAACAUCCAUGGAACAUUUGCAUUUCAUGAGCAGCUUUAUGGUGAGAAAUUGAAACCUCCUGCCAACAGCCAUGUGAGUGAGCUUGGAAGCAGAUUCUCCAGCUCUUCAAAUAAUGGCAGCCCCAGAAAACAACUUAAAUGCAACCUCCUGAGAGUCUCUGAGCUAGAACUACCUAG
RNAcentral lists this long non-coding RNA (458 nucleotides) under Homo sapiens (human). RNAcentral's name for it is "non-protein coding PANCR:4". Lineage: Eukaryota; Metazoa; Chordata; Mammalia; Primates; Hominidae. The record is from RNAcentral.